GUGGGGAAUAUUGGACAAUGGGCCACAAGCCUGAUCCAGCAAUUCUGUGUGCACGAUGAAGGUCUUCGGAUUGUAAAGUGCUUUCAGUUGGGAAGAAGAAAGUGACGGUACCAACAGAAGAAGCGACGGCUAAAUACGUGCCAGCAGCCGCGGUAAUACGUAUGUCGCAAGCGUUAUCCGGAUUUAUUGGGCGUAAAGCGCGUCUAGGCGGAAAAAUAAGUCUGAUGUUAAAAUGCGGGGCUCAACUCCGUAUUGCGUUGGAAACUGUUUUUCUAGAGUACUGGAGAGGUGGGCGGAACUACAAGUGUAGAGGUGAAAUUCGUAGAUAUUUGUAGGAAUGCCGAUGGAGAAGUCAGCUCACUGGACAGAUACUGACGCUAAAGCGCGAAAGCGUGGGGAGCAAACAGGAUUAGAUACCCGAGUAGUCC
This 428-nucleotide ribosomal RNA is filed under the name uncultured bacterium. RNAcentral's name for it is "bacterial SSU rRNA". It matches the Rfam family "Bacterial small subunit ribosomal RNA", at positions 354 to 796 of the family's 1533-position model. The record is from RNAcentral.